RNAcentral lists this unclassified non-coding RNA (396 nucleotides) under soil metagenome. RNAcentral describes it as "partial contains 5.8S ribosomal RNA, internal transcribed spacer 2, and large subunit ribosomal RNA". The stretch from base 1 to 122 matches the Rfam family "5.8S ribosomal RNA", at positions 35 to 154 of the family's 154-position model. The record is from RNAcentral.
GAUGAAGAACGCAGCGAAAUGCGAUACGUAGUGUGAAUUGCAGAAUUCAGUGAAUCAUCGAGUCUUUGAACGCAAGUUGCGCCCGAAGCCAUUAGGCCGAGGGCACGCCUGCCUGGGUGUCACACACCGUUACCCUCGCGCCAACGUCCAUCGUUGGCCGCGGCGCGGGGCGUGCGCUGACCUCCCGCGAGCGGGGUCUCGUGGUUGGUUGAAAAUCGAGUUCGCGGUCGAGGGUGCCGUGAUGAAAUGGUGGAUGGGCGACGCCCGAGGCCAAUCACGCGCGACUCUGUCCGGCUCGGACUCCUGGACCCCUUCGGCGUCUCCGGACGCUCUUUGGCGAGACCUCAGGUCAGGCGGGGCUACCCGCUGAGUUUAAGCAUAUCAAUAAGCGGAGGA